GUGAAUCAUCGAAUUUUUGAACGCAAAUUGCACUCUUUGCAGAGAGUAUGCGUGUUUGAGGGUCAGCAUAAAAAAAAUCGACAUAGUUGCUGUUUCGCGGUGACAUUCGUCGGUAAUUGGGUCACAUUAAACCUUUGGGGUUUUUAAGUGUCUUAAAAUUUUCUUUACGAUUCCACGAACGUUUCUAAGUAUUUACUUCUUUCACACGUAUAAGGUAUCGAUCUUUAUUAGAGGUUGCCGUUGAAUCGGUUCGUGUCCAUAUAUCUUU
RNAcentral lists this unclassified non-coding RNA (268 nucleotides) under Glomus sp. RNAcentral's name for it is "partial contains 5.8S ribosomal RNA and internal transcribed spacer 2". The stretch from base 1 to 65 matches the Rfam family "5.8S ribosomal RNA", at positions 84 to 154 of the family's 154-position model. Lineage: Eukaryota; Fungi; Glomeromycota; Glomeromycetes; Glomerales; Glomeraceae. The record is from RNAcentral.